UGGGGAGUACGGUCGCAAGAUUAAAACUCAAAUGAAUUGACGGGGGCCCGCACAAGCGGUGGAGCAUGUGGUUUAAUUCGAUGCAACGCGAAGAACCUUACCUACUCUUGACAUCCAUAGAACUUUCCAGAGAUGGAUUGGUGCCUUCGGGAACUAUGAGACAGGUGCUGCAUGGCUGUCGUCAGCUCGUGUUGUGAAAUGUUGGGUUAAGUCCCGCAACGAGCGCAACCCUUAUCCUUGUUUGCCAGCGAGUAAUGUCGGGAACUCCAGGGAGACUGCCGGUGAUAAACCGGAGGAAGGUGGGGACGACGUCAAGUCAUCAUGGCCCUUACGAGUAGGGCUACACACGUGCUACAAUGGCGCAUACAGAGGGCGGCCAACUUGCGAAAGUGAGCGAAUCCCAAAAAGUGCGUCGUAGUCCGGAUUGGAGUCUGCAACUCGACUCCAUGAAGUCGGAAUCGCUAGUAAUCGUGGAUCAGAAUGCUACGGUGAAUACGUUCCCGGGCCUUGUACACACCGCCCGUCACACCAUGGGAGUGGGCUGCAAAAGAAGUGGGUAGUUUAACCUUCGGGGGGACGCUCACCACUUUGUGGUUCAUGACUGGGGUGAAGUCGUAACAAGGUAACC
Molecule: ribosomal RNA, 628 nt
Filed under: uncultured Vibrio sp.
Lineage: Bacteria; Pseudomonadati; Pseudomonadota; Gammaproteobacteria; Vibrionales; Vibrionaceae
Description: bacterial SSU rRNA
Rfam family: Bacterial small subunit ribosomal RNA
Source: RNAcentral